UGAGCAAACAAAUCAUUUCUUCUAGUUGCU
This 30-nucleotide non-coding RNA is filed under the name Homo sapiens (human). The record is from RNAcentral. Lineage: Eukaryota; Metazoa; Chordata; Mammalia; Primates; Hominidae.